Molecule: non-coding RNA, 152 nt
Organism: Pseudonaja textilis
Lineage: Eukaryota; Metazoa; Chordata; Lepidosauria; Squamata; Elapidae
Source: RefSeq, a predicted model, not a curated record
CUCUCAGGUUUACACCCUGGACAUUCCCACCAUAAAUCUCAGUUAAAUUAGGGAAGGCACAAAUCUUAACAAAUAUAUCACGUGGUUGCAUGGAAGACAGAGAGGAAGAGAGAGAAACAAACAAACAAAACCUCAAUAACCCCAACAUUUCU